Molecule: ribosomal RNA, 238 nt
Filed under: uncultured bacterium
Lineage: Bacteria
Description: partial 16S ribosomal RNA
Rfam family: Bacterial small subunit ribosomal RNA
Source: RNAcentral
CAACGUGAACAACCUGCCUUCAGGAUGGGGACAACAGACGGAAACGACUGCUAAUACCGAAUAAGUUCCAAGGGCCGCAUGGCCCAUGGAAGAAAAGGUGGCCUCUACCUGUAAGCUAUCGCCUGAAGAGGGGUUUGCGUCUGAUUAGCUGGUUGGAGGGGUAACGGCCCACCAAGGCGACGAUCAGUAGCCGGUCUGAGAGGAUGAACGGCCACACUGGAACUGAGACACGGUCCAG